UGCUGAACAUUAUUGCUGUUUACAGUUUAUCUCUAUCUAUAAUAAUAUUCAAGAUAAUAACCAAAAUCUGCAAAAUUUCCUUCAAAUUACUAAUUUGGGGGCAGCAACCCAAUAAUGGGUUGUCAGAUUUGUCUGAAAAUUUCAGGGCAGAUAGAUCUUGACCUAAUAGACAAUUUUACCCCAUGUCAGAUUUGCUCUAAAUGCUUUGGUUUCAGAUUUAUAAGCCAAAAUCUAC
RNAcentral lists this long non-coding RNA (235 nucleotides) under Mytilus galloprovincialis (Mediterranean mussel). Lineage: Eukaryota; Metazoa; Mollusca; Bivalvia; Mytilida; Mytilidae. The record is from RNAcentral.